This 101-nucleotide transfer RNA is filed under the name Streptomyces xanthophaeus. RNAcentral describes it as "tRNA-His". The record is from RNAcentral. Lineage: Bacteria; Bacillati; Actinomycetota; Actinomycetes; Kitasatosporales; Streptomycetaceae.
UACCGGGCCGGGGGACUGGCCGUCCGGGGUGACGCCGUGGUCGUCACGGUCAACUACCGGCUGGGGAUCUUCGGCCUGUUCGGCCAUCCGGAGCUCGGCGG